Long non-coding RNA from Dermochelys coriacea (leatherback sea turtle), 5153 nucleotides. RefSeq lists it as uncharacterized. The record is from RefSeq and is a predicted model, not a curated record. NCBI's taxonomy places the organism in Eukaryota, Metazoa, Chordata, Testudines, Dermochelyidae. The transcript is spliced from 2 exons.
UCUUAUGUUAGGUGUAGAAUGUGAACCCCUUACAUAAAAAAGCCUUAAAGAUACAGCUCAAAGUAAAUUCAUGUGAGCAGUAUUUUCCUGGUUUUUUUUUUCAUUGUAUAGGUUUGUCAAAACCAUAGUUUCACAACAUAUUUGACACCAACUUGUAAUGUAAUUGAUCCACAGUGUCCAGAGAAGGAAAACAAAUUGUGGUGCUAAAGCAGCAUGCGGUAUAAUUUAUUAUUUAUUAUUAUUGUAGGAACCAAAGGCAUCAAGAAGGUUAGGGCUGAUUGUGCUAGGAGUUGUACAGAUAUACAACUGUCCUUCUGUGACGGAACAAUGAAUGGUAAUCCAUAUAGGGGCCUCCAUUUUGGAAGGGAGGGAAGAGAAAAAUAGUUAGUUGAUUUACCAUUCAGGAAAUAACAGGUUACAUUUUGGAAGAAAGCUGUAAUAUAAAACAGAUUUACUGUAUCUGACUUUAACUUAAUACCUGAUAUUAAAUAGUAAAAUAAUUUUAUAAACCCUGCUUAUUUAAGGCUAUGGACAAAGCAUAUGCUUUGUGUUCAAGCCUGCCUUGAGGAGACAGUGGUGUAUACUCUUUACUUCAUCACUACUGACUCCUUAGUGCUCCCUUUUCCCUGAGGAAAGUUGUCUUUAUCUAUUUCAGUAAAUCUUAGUUAACUUAAUGUGCUUCUUCUGGAAUAUUUUUUCCUUAUAUGCUACUAUAGCUUGGAUUACUAUCUUCUUGCUAUUUGUGUGUGCAGUACCUGGCACAAUGGAGCCUCAAUACACUACUGCAACAUAAAUACUAAAUUACAUAAUACGUAAAAUGAAUAGGAGUAUGUUGUCAGCUUAAUCUUUCGUUAAUCUUUUUUGAUGCUACUGAAUUCAUUACUUCUGUCUGGUGUGCUGUGAUCUAGAUUAGACUGGGCUUUAUUUUUUUCUCACUUGCAUUGGUGUAGGUGAUUAAGUCCACUGAAAUAAUAAAAUCUAAACAAUAUAAAACUGGUGUAAAUGAGAGGAGAAUCGGACUUUAUAUCUUGACUUUAAUAUAAGAAUUUUCUGUUUAGUAACCUUCAAUUCAGUUGUCCCCUUUCCCUUCAAGAUUUUGUGUGGGUGUGUAGUAACAUUUUUCCCACAUAGCCUGGUUUUAGUAUUGAGAGUAUGUAAUAGGUUUAGUGAUUUCAUAUAGGUUAAUAGUCAUUAACCUUAAAGCUGCUGGAAUGAAUUGGGUUUUCAUUUUGUCUGUCUAGCGCGUGACUUUUUUUGUUGUGUUUAAUACAGAUAUCUUCUUUAAUUUCUUAUAGGCUGUUAAAAUCUCUUCUGUUGAGAUGAAUGACCCACAAGGUCACUCAUUCUUGUAACUUACUACUGCGUAAGAGCUAUUGUAAAUAUCCUCUUUCAUGUCCCACAUUUGAACUUUUCGAUUUUGAUGUUGAAAACGAAUGCCUUACUUUCGUCUAUAUUAUGCUGGUUAACUCUUAUAUCUGAGUAUAUCUAAUUAACUCUUAUAUCUGAGUAUAUCUAAUUAACUCCUAUAUCUGAGUAUAUCUAAUUUAAGUUGGACUGAGAAGUCCAUUGCAGAAACCCAGAUGAUUCUCAGCUAGUCAACAAUUUCUUUGUGUACUUCUAACAGCAACUGUACAUUGUAGUUCAGUGAGUUGACCUACUUCUGUACUAGAUUUUUAAGGAGUCAAGGUAUGAAAUCAAGUAUCGGACGGGUAGCCAAGUUAAUCUGGAGCUGUAAAAGCGGCAAAGAGUCCUGUGGCACCUUGUAGACUAACAGACAUAUUGGAGCAUAAGCUUUCGUGGGUAAAUACCCACUUCUUCGGAUGCAUGUCAUGCAGGUAUGAAAUGUUCAUUUUUUAAAUGCCUGAAAUUUAAACUCUGCCUUUCAAAAGUUUAAAUGUCAGCCAUUUAAAAACACAGUUGUAUGAAGACAAGUAUUAGAACGGUGGUGCUGGUAGCCUGAGUAUAGAACCCAAGUCUUAUUCCCUUCUUUAACCUUUAAAAUGAUUUUUAAUUGUAUAUAUUGAAUUAAUUGUGUCUGAAAUGAGUUCUGUUGACAGCCCUGGUGACUGAAAUCCAUUUCUGUACCACAGCACUAGUACAGCAUCAGUAUUACAAGCUUCUCCACACCAUGCUAACUUGAAAGGGACCCUCCUGUGAAGAUCAGAGGGCAAUUCAUUUUACAGACAUCUUCUCAUUCAGUUUUCCCUUGAGACUGUUAGUAAGAAUGGCACUGAUGUGCAAUUAGCUCAGGUUAAUAGUGAAAGAAUAUUAUCAUCUGAUAGCCAUUUGGAAGUGUACAAUUGUCCACAUCUCCAAAACCAUCACUGUGGAUGCGCUUGUUAGUAAAAGAGAGGACACUGAUUGCCUUGGCUUGAAAACUGAAGAGCCCUCUCACUCAUACAUCUAUUGUUUCUGGGGCAGGAUUGAAGUACACUGGCAGGGUGUGAUCAGAUUUCACCAGGUGCUUUGGUAUUGCAAAUAAUAAAUAACAUAUUACAACUGCUCCCUGUGCUGUAUCUCUCCUAUCGUUAAAUAGAGGACUUGAGUCUCCAGUAUAUUAACAUGGCAUCUUCAACCAGCACUGAAUUCACUUUUAAAAAAACAGGAACAGAGAACUGACAAUAAAACAGAUAUAUUUCUUUGUAUUUGGUUUAUUCUUCUGAAUAGUUGAGGAAAUUGGCAUAUCCAAAAUGCAGUAGAGCAGUGACUAUGUGUUUAAAAUUAUCUGGCCUGUUAUUAAACUAGUAUUCUUAUUCCUUGUCCCAGUUCAGUUAUAUUAUCAAGGUGGUGAUUAUUGAUUUUAUAGCUAUUAAUUCAGGCAGGCAGGCUCAGUAAAUAUGAUUGUGAUGGAGAUGUUAUACUAGACAAGGUAACUCUUAGAAUACUGUUGCUUCCCUUACUGCCAGCUAAAUGAAUGUUUAGGAGAGUGUCUGCAGCAGUCAAAGGGUUUUGGCUUUUGAAAUAUUUAUUAUGCAACCUAAUAUUUGUAUCAAAAUGGGGAAAAAAAUAGGGGCAAUCAGAAUCAGCAGUGUUUUUAACAGGUGGGUACAGAUGAUUGUGGUAAAGGAAUUUUUUUUUUAGGUGAGUGUCUGUCUUACAGUUUUGAAGUAAUUUACUGCCAAAUAGUUCUGUACAGUAACUGAAUGUUUGUGUAGAAAAAUAUAGAAUUCUAGUUGGAUAGUUACAACCAAAGGGAGAACAUCACUUGAUCUUUCAUUGUUCUAAUAUCACUUAUUUUGGAAUAUGUUUAUUUUCAAUAUGUUGAACAUUAGUUUUCUGGCCAAGUUAAUUUUGCAGGAUAUAAGAUCAUAUUGUGAUUACAUUAUUAAAAAUAUAUUUCAAAUACCUAUUUUUAAUCUUUGUUAAUCCCUUUGACAUGAUGAACACAUGAGUCUGACUGCCCUGGUGGUGGUGAGAUUGGAUCAUGGAUAACAAUUACUGUGGUUGCUGGACAGAACUGGUUUUGAAUCAGUUGUCAUGAAAAUAUUAUAAAUAUCUGUUCUUCCGAAAGAUCCGUUGAUUACCACAGUUAAUUUAAGUAUUGUGGGCUGGAGGCCAGGGUGUUGGUGCAUGGUGCUGUGCUGUGGAACUUAGUUUUACUGCUAGUCCACUGUAACUGGUCUCUCAGAGCUUUAGGGCUUGGUGUAAGGCUUGUCUCUUGCCUCUCACACAAGUGGAUUGGGAAGAUGGCAACGAGUGUGGUAACUAGUCAGUCUUCCAAUGUUAAUACUGGUCAAUAGGUUAGUUAAAAUUUCAGAGUAUUAUUCUGUGUUUAAAGACUGUAGUGAAUGCUUUUUGUAAAUUGUGAAAACAAAAUAAAAUUUUGUUCACUGUAAUGUUAGAUUACAAAAUACUUAGUUCAUUCCUGUCCUUGAAAGUAUGACACAAUGUUUUACUUCUUACACAAAACUGGUUUAUUGUAUAAUUGUUCAUGAAUGCUAGGCUGUUGACUUUGAUGGGCUUUUGUGUGUAUUUUCACUUAAUUCACAAGAUUGCCAUCUUAACUUAAAGAUCUGUGAUGCUCUGAAGUAGAGUUCGCUUUUACCUCAGUUUUAUCUGAAUUUCAGUUUACAGUUUAAUUCUUAAUUUGAAAUUCAGAUAAAAUUCUAAUUUAGAAACUGAACUUUUCUUCUCUUCUCUCUCCUUCCCUUUCAGAGGCUUAUUAACCAUGUGAUUUACGAUCCAGGAAGUGAAGUCACUGUUUCCAAAAUAUGGAAGACAAUUAGCAUUUCAGUAUGGGAACAGUUCCUCUCACCCCAUACAAUAUUAAAAUUAGGCCAUGUCUACAAUAGAGCUUACAGCUGUCCCAUGCAGCUGCGCCGCUGUAAGAUUGCUCGUGUAGCCACUUUAUGCUGAUGGGAGAGAGCUCUCCAGUUGACAUAAUUAAACCACACCCCAACGGGUGGCGGUGGCUAUGUCAGCGGAAGAAUGCCUCCUGAUGACAAAGCACUGUCCACACCAGUGCUUCUGUCAGUGUAACUUAUGUCACUCAGGGGUGUGUGGUUUUUCACACCCCAAGCGACAUAAGUUAUUCUAACAAAAAUGCUAGUAUAGACAUAGCCUUAGUCUCGUAAGUGAGAAUUGCAUUUAAAAAAAAAAAAAAACCCUGCUAGGUUCUUCUUAUAACUGAAGCUUUCCUAUUUUCCUUUUGACCUGCUAGGUGUUAGAGAAGCAUUAACUUAAUGUAUGUGCUUUUCAGUCACUUCCUGGCUCUUGUUGAGUGACUUUAUAUUGUAGUUAGAUUUUUGAGGUACUAUGAAUAGAGUAGGUUUAAUCAGAUUUUGCUUUAAGGGAUAACAUCAACUUAAAAUUUAGUCUGUUUAAAAAAGGAGUUAAAAGUAGUUUCAAGUUCUUCAUCUGCACUUGAGUUCUCCAGCCAAUGUUUGUGGUUUUAUAGUAAUCUUUUUUAUGUUGUUCCCCCCACCCCACCCCCCACUAUAUGAAAGACCACCCAAACAAUAGGGGAAACAGAUCUGUUGAUUGUACCAGAAAAACAGAUUACAGUAGAACCUCACAGUUAUGAACGCCAGAGUUACGAACUGACUAGUCAACCACACACUUUGGAACCAGAAGUUCAUAAUCGGGCAGCAGCAGAGACACCCCCACCCCCAAAAAAUCAAAUACAGUACAGUACUAUGUUAAAUGUAAAUUAC